This 1357-nucleotide ribosomal RNA is filed under the name uncultured bacterium. RNAcentral describes it as "bacterial SSU rRNA". It matches the Rfam family "Bacterial small subunit ribosomal RNA", at positions 28 to 1387 of the family's 1533-position model. The record is from RNAcentral.
GACGAACGCUGGCGGCGUGCUUAACACAUGCAAGUCGAACGAAGCUUGAUUACGGAUUCUUCGGAUGAAGUAUGAUAUGACUGAGUGGCGGACGGGUGAGUAACGCGUGAGUAACCUGCCCUUCAGAGGGGGAUAGCGUUUGGAAACGAACGGUAAUACCGCAUAAUGUAUUUUGACCGCAUGAUCGAAAUACCAAAGAUUUAUCGCUGAAGGAUGGACUCGCGUCUGAUUAGGUAGUUGGUGGGGUAACGGCCUACCAAGCCGACGAUCAGUAGCCGGACUGAGAGGUUGAUCGGCCACAUUGGGACUGAGACACGGCCCACACUCCUACGGGAGGCAGCAGUGGGGAAUAUUGCACAAUGGGCGCAAGCCUGAUGCAGCAACGCCGCGUGAAGGAAGACGGUUUUCGGAUUGUAAACUUCUGUUCUUAGUGAAGAAUAAUGACGGUAGCUAAGGAGCAAGCCACGGCUAACUACGUGCCAGCAGCCGCGGUAAUACGUAGGUGGCAAGCGUUGUCCGGAAUUACUGGGUGUAAAGGGAGCGCAGGCGGGUGAUCAAGUCAGCUGUGAAAACUACGGGCUUAACCCGUAGACUGCAGUUGAAACUGUUCAUCUUGAGUGAAGUAGAGGUUGGCGGAAUUCCGAGUGUAGCGGUGAAAUGCGUAGAUAUUCGGAGGAACCCCGGGGGGCGAAGGGCGGGCCAACUGGGCUUUAACUGACGCUGAGGCUCGAAGGUGUGGGGGAGCAAAGAGGAUUAGAUACCCUUGUUAGUCCACACCGUAAACGAUGAUUGCUAUGUGUGGGGGGUCUGACCCUUUCCGGCCGGAGUUAACGCAUAAGCAAUCCCUCGGGGAGUACGACCGCAAGGUUGAAACUCAAAGGAAUUGACGGGGACCCGCACAAGCAGUGGAUUAUGUGGUUUAAUUCGAAGCAACGCGAAGAACCUUACCAGCACUUGACAUCCAACUAACGAAAUAGAGAUAUAUUAGGUGCCCUUCGGGGAAAGUUGAGACAGGUGGUGCAUGGUUGUCGUCAGCUCGUGUCGUGAGAUGUUGGGUUAAGUCCCGCAACGAGCGCAACCCUCGCCAUUAGUUGCUACGCAAGAGCACUCUAAUGGGACCGCUACCGACAAGGUGGAGGAAGGUGGGGACGACGUCAAAUCAUCAUGCCCCUUAUGUGCUGGGCUACACACGUAAUACAAUGGCCAUCAACAGAGAGAAGCAAUACCGCGAGGUGGAGCAAAACUUCAAAAAUGGUCUCAGUUCGGACUGCAGGCUGCAACCCGCCUGCACGAAGUUGGAAUUGCUAGUAAUCGUGGAUCAGCAUGCCACGGUGAAUACGUUCCCGGGUCUUGCACA